UGGGACCCUCGUUGGGAACUGUCUGCAGCUGUCUGGCCAUAAGAUGAUGGUACUUGGUGGGGGUGAUAAGACUAGGAGAAAUCAUUGUGGUCUGGAAAGAAACAGGUGUUUGCUGACAGACUGAAUCAGAGACUGGCUCCUUCCUGGAGAUGAGAAUAAAGUGGUGAAAGUAAGUUCAGAAGAAGGCUGGAGAUUGUGACAGCAUGAGUGUUUACAAAAUGAUUACGAAAAAGAUGUUCUGAGGUCCAGUCUUAAUGGCUGCAUGUUCCAGUGACAUUGUGGGGACAGGA
This is a long non-coding RNA of Peromyscus maniculatus bairdii (prairie deer mouse), 290 nucleotides long. RefSeq lists it as uncharacterized. The record is from RefSeq and is a predicted model, not a curated record. NCBI's taxonomy places the organism in Eukaryota, Metazoa, Chordata, Mammalia, Rodentia, Cricetidae.